GAAGAUAAAGAUAAAGUUGCCCAAGAAGAACCGGCUAAGGUGAAGGAUGAGCUCUAAAUCUUGUAUCAAUUUUGGGCUUAGUGUACUAAAAGUUACGUCAGAAUAAUCAAAUUAUUUAGUUUUCUUAGACCCUUUGUGGUUAGGGGCCAAAAAGGAAGGUAAUCUUGCAAGUUAGAUGAGUGUCCACUCCAGAAUUACUCGAUUUAACAUUAUUUUGUUAGAUUUCGUCCUUUUUUUUUUUUUGGGGAAAAA
This 252-nucleotide unclassified non-coding RNA is filed under the name Hevea brasiliensis (rubber tree). Lineage: Eukaryota; Viridiplantae; Streptophyta; Magnoliopsida; Malpighiales; Euphorbiaceae. The record is from RNAcentral.